Molecule: long non-coding RNA, 2343 nt
Filed under: Phasianus colchicus (ring-necked pheasant)
Lineage: Eukaryota; Metazoa; Chordata; Aves; Galliformes; Phasianidae
Description: lncRNA (ENSPCLG00000002687.1)
Source: RNAcentral
AAAACAAUGUACAGUAAAACAGAAGCACCUGGAGAACAGAAUGAAGCCAAACUACUGUGAACGGAUAACAGGAUCCAUGCACAGGCAUAAAGGACUUGAGGAACCAGAAAUUGCUCUGUAGAUUGAAAAAACUGUUACAGAUGAGAGCUUAUUCUACAAAAGCAGGGUUUCUAAUGCCCUAGAAGGAACGUAUUCAAAUUGGGUUGGCUAAACAACACAGACCUCUCAGGGAGUUAGGAGAGCUGCUAUCAGAAAAAGUCUAGAUGCAGCUGAUGAUGAUUAAAGGCUGAUGAACUUCAAAGUAGCAGGAGGCCAUCAGGUGCUCUGAGCUAUAUAGCAUGAAAAGUUUAGGAAGUGUUAGUGGCUAUCCUCACUUGAAGCACUGAUUAGAUGGCAAAGUUGUGGUCAAUGCUAUUUGUUGUUUAUACUGGGAAAGUGUUCUGAUCAAACAGUGCUUGUGACAAUUCCUUCUGCCCUCACAUGCAAUACCUUCUACAGGGACUGGGACAGAUACAGGCAGCGGAGCAGGAGAAUAUGAAGUGCAGAAGAUGCCAAAAUCCACAAAAAAAGUGUGAUAAUCCUCAACGAAAGUUGACUCAUCAGCAUACCACCAGGUUACUAAAUGGCAUACUGUUGAGUUCACCUCUAACACAACAUCUUGGAAGUGUAUAGGCUGAUUUCUACUGUUUUUCCUUCAAGGAUGGAGCCAAAGGCUUACUCAGACUCUAGGCUAAUUGGUCUAUGAAGCAGCAAGUACACAAUACAUUUAAAAUGUUGAAUACAUUAAUCUCUUGAUCUGCUCCUGGAUGGCAGCCCUCUGACCAUCUGCCCUCUGUGCCUCUUUGUCUGGGCACCAAGGAUGGGAUCCUGCUGUAGGUGAUGCUGGAGAUGUACACAAGUCUACCUAGGAAAGCUGAAAACUGUCCCACCAGAAAUGCCAGCCAGCUCUAGUUCUUUCUAUGGCACAGAAAAAUAGAUAACAGCUUUGGGCAUCGAUUUUGCUGAGCUCAGAGUGAUUUUGGCUUCUGCAUCUGGCACAUAAGCAAUCAGAAAAGCUGUGAACAUACUCCCUUAUAUGCUAUCCCUGUGGAAGGCUGCAAUGUGCUGGCUUAUUUUGUUCCUUGUGUUUUUCCAUGAGCCUUUCAGUACCAGAAUGCAGCACUGAAGCUUCAGCAGAUCCAUAGUUUGGUCUGCUUGUAAACUGUUCUGAGAGCAUAAGGUCAUCUUCAUGCAAACUAGCUUUCUCAUCCUUAAAGUCUUAAAGGACUUUGCUACUUGUUCCCAGUUCCCUUACCUUGGAUUCUGACUUUCCCUGCUGGUUUAUGCAGUUCUGAAUAGUUCCUAUUGACCAAGGGCCAGAUCUUGCAUGCAAUGUUAUUUUGCUGUGCUCAGAAGACAAGAGUGGAAGGUGAUGACAUCAGCAAAUAACUGGAAGAAGCAGGAGAGGAAAAUACAAGCUUAGUUUUUUGUAACAUCUCGGAUUGGACUUUGGCAUAGGAAGACAAAAUGCACAGAGGGCUUUGUCUCUCCUAUCCAGGCCUCCUGACUGCUACUUCUUUCAUGAAACAGACUUAACCCCUUCCUGUCUAUUGCCUUUCUUGUUUGGGGAGGCCACUCACCUGCAUAACAGUGGAUCAGCCUUCAAAAGCUGAACCAUCAUGUGUACAAUUGCAGCACUAUACAGCUACCAUGGAAGAGUAUUUUGUGUUUCUUCCAGGAUUCAUCUACAAUGUGCUUCUUGGUAAUUCUCAUCUGUAUUAUGUUUUCUGUUUCAUUUUCCAGGCUGCUUUUGUUUUCAAGAAAAUAUAAACACGUUGUGCCAUCACAUCUCCUUUCUCAGCAGUAGUGGUGGGAUUCCACCGUGGGCAUCUGCCAUGUCUCUUCUGUACUCCUCACUGCUCUCCUCUGACCUUGGAGAAAAUAAGCCCUCCUGGUAUUCUUUGCCAAUGGAAAAAAUCGUUCCAGUUUUAAUUUGCCUUUUAGGUUGUUCUGUUCUCCAUCCCAGUGCUGGCUUUACAGAGCACAAAUAGUUAGAAUGUGCCAUCUAUGGGUCUGAGAAAGGCUUGCAAGCUUUAAUGAUUGAUAAUAUAAGAUAGUUCUGCUAUUUAAAGAGGGAGUCAAGCUAUAUAUUUCAUUAAAGGAGUAAUAGUAACUAUUUGAAGGCAACUCCCAGCCCUCAUCUCAAAGCACUAUAUCAAAAUGCAUCACCACAUGACUGCUUCCUGAUAAGAAGCAGGUAUUCAUUGUGUUGUAUUCAGUAGUGCUUUACAGGAGGAAAAAAAAAGGUUGAACUGGAGGAAAUAAGGAAAUAAAACUCACCUGAAGCUUUUCUUUUUUUUUUUU